GCAGACGACACACACUGGCUGCUGAUGGUCCAGACAAAUCAGCAGCGUGUUUGUUUCUCUCUCUACCAGCUCUGCAGACAAUCUUUACAGAAGCUGUGGCUACAUGGCAGAAGACAGGAUCUCUAAAGAUGUCACAACAGACCAGACAGCACAGAUCUUCCUCUAAUCUGGAAGCCAUUUUUUUCUGAGGGAAUCUGAAGUGCAGUCAGUCCUGGCUCCCCUCCCUCCUCUACUUACUUCACUGAACUCUGAUUUCUAUUUUUAGUCAAACUCACAUUCAGUGUAUGAGUCAACAGGUUGAAGCAGCAGUGUUUUAGUUUUCCACUUUUCUCUCCUGUAGCUGAACUAACUCAGAAGAAUUUGACAGUUUGGUCUGAAGAUGAAUCUGAUCGUCCGUUUUUUAGUCAGUCUGCUCUUUUCAUUUCUCUAUUUGAAGCCUCGUCUCCUCUGUCCACUCUACUCCUGCCUGUGACCCUGAACUCGAUCUCAGUGCGCCAUCUUGACAGACGUCUCAAUUCCUAAAAUGCCUCUGGAGUAGAGAGGAGACUUGCCGGAAGAGUGUAUCCUUUACAGAAAUCUUUGUGUGAAGUUUAAAAGAGACCGUGGGUCAGCAGCUACUUCAAGAAGUUCCCCAUGCACAUCUACUGCCUUCCUGUCCAGGCUGCCAAUCACAGACGUCGGAGGCGGGGCCUGAAGAAGAGGGAAUGAUGACAGGAUGGGAGUUCUCGUCGUAUACAUCUGAAAUAUGUUGAGAAUAUUUCUGUUUUUUACCUGAAAAUAAAUUUGGUUUCCUCCCCCGUC
Long non-coding RNA from Morone saxatilis (striped sea-bass), 801 nucleotides. RefSeq lists it as uncharacterized. The transcript has 2 exons. NCBI's taxonomy places the organism in Eukaryota, Metazoa, Chordata, Actinopteri, Moronidae. The record is from RefSeq and is a predicted model, not a curated record.